ACGUUUUUUUCUUCACUUGUUUAUUGAUGUGUUUGAAUUUAACUUAUAAUUGUGUAAUACAAUUCAUAUUUUGAUGCAAGAAAUUGCAAUUUAAAUAAAAUGCCUGGAAACAAGUCCUUGAAAAAAAAAGAAUCAAAAGAGGAUGGUUCACCCUAUAGUGGGAUUCCUCAAAUAGCAACAGAAGAUCAGAGAAAGCCUAUAAUACCACUUUGGCUCGAAUGGAGUGAUCAAGAUAUUUUAAAUGAAAAAUGGGAUCCAUCUAAAAAAGAUAAAGAGAAAGUAAGAAGCUCCUCUGCUCAAGUGAAUUUUUUUGAUGAUCCUGAAGGUAAAGUUUUGCUUCCUCCAUCAUUGAAUUUACAGGUUAAAUCAUGGAAAAGACCAUCAGAUAUCAUUACUGGAAAGACUGCAGUGAUUGUUGACCCUGAAUUUGAUCAUAUUGGCGAUCUGUUAAUAAAAAAUGGACAUAUUGUUCAAGAUAAGGUAAUGAAUGCAAUUAUCUCAUGCAUUUCUGUUGUUUCAUCAUAUUUUUGUCAAGCACAGUUUAAUGAAACAAGCAGCAGUUCUUUAAAAUUAAAAUCGUCUUUAAUAAAAGAACAGAACAACACAAAAGCUGAUAAAAUUAGAAAAGAAAAUGAAAUAAAGGAUGAACACUUUUGUAACCCUUGGGAUCUUAUCUGGCCUAAAGAAAAUCCAAAAUCUUAUAGUUUACCAGUUGUAAAUUUAUCAGGGAAAUAUGCAGUUAAACUAUUUUGGAUGGGGACACAGAGAAAGAUUAUUGUUGAUGAUACUAUACCAUGUGAUCAAAAUAACUUGCCUUUAUUGCCAUUUACAUCUAGAGGAAAUGAACUUUGGUUGCCUAUACUGACAAAAGCUAUUCUUAAAAUUGCUUCAUUACAUUAUUGCAACAAUAUUAUAAAUGACCUACAGGACUUUCAUGUUGUUUAUUGCUUACUUGGCUGGUUACCUGAACUAAUACCCCUUAAUGAAAAGUAUAAAGAUUCUAUAUGGAAAAUGUUAAUGCAAAGUUUGUCAGUUUGGAAGCUUCCCCAAUCACCUAUUAUUGUGGAACAUACAGCUCCAGAUGAAAAAAUUUCGACUGAUGAAUUGCAAACAAAGCAACUGCUAUCUGCUAAAGUUUCAAAAGAUAAAGGUGCUAAAAUAAAAGAUGAAAAAAAGUUAAAAGGACUUGAAAAAGAUAAAACUCAAAAAGAGAAAAUUUUUAUAUCAAAUCAACCUUUGACUAAAGUUGAUGAAACACCUGUUAUUAUAUUUGCUUGUAAUGUGCUAGGUGAAAGCGAGUUUUCAGAAAAAUAUCCAUUUUAUUCACCAUUAAUACAACAUGUCUACAUAAAUUACAUUCGUAAUUGCUCAUUGAUUCCACCUCCUGAUUUAGCUCCAAUCCCUCAAUGGAAGCUUAUAAGAAAGAAAAAGGAGCUCAAAGAAUUACUUAAACAGCAAGUUAAAGAGCCAAAGUUUUUACAGCUUAAAUCUCCUUUUUUUCAAUUUAGCGAAUGCAAUAAUAACACUGCUAUUAGCACUUCUGAUAAUAACUCUUCAACUAAUAAUAUUUAUAUUGAUAAUUUUAUUAAUAGGAGUAUAACAAAUAACACUUCUAAUAGAAAUUUGAGUGUAUUAGUUGAACAACAUGAUCCUAUUGGUAAGAUUAACAUGGUUGAGAGUUUGAUUGAUUCUUAUAUAACUAAGCACAAAAACAACAACAACAACAGCAGAGGUUUGGAAGGUGCAAUUGAUACUUUGACUAAAUACAAUAAUAAUGGAGUUUUGGAAGGGGGAAGUGAUGCAUCAAGUAAAUUAAAAAAGAAAAUAAAUUUAGAUAAAAAUGGGUUAGCAAUAGAGGCUUGGAUAGAGUUUGAUGAUUUCUUAAAGUUUUUUAGCAUGCUGCUGAUUUAUCAUAAACCCAAAAUGUAUUUCAAAACAGCAUCUGAAACUAAGUUAUUUGAUAUAAAAUAUGAAAAAGAAAGCUCAACCAGCAAUCCUAACGAAGAAUUACCUUCAUCAGUCAUUAACAGAAUAUCAUGUAGUGAACUUUCAUCUCCAUACAUAGUUAUUGAUAGUUUAAAAAAAACAGAAAUUAUAAUAUGUUUUCAAUCUUUUUCUCGAUGGUUUGAACAUAGCAGUCCUACUGAUGUUGUUCAGAGAAAGCAAUCUAAUUUUCCUGGAAAUCUUUAUGUUGAACCAUUUUGUUGGCGAGAAAUACAAAAAAAAAAAGCAGUUUUGAAAAUUUCAACGAUUGGCAUAAAAUCAGUUACCAUGUCGCUACCUCCUGGGAGAUUUAUCUUUCAAUUGGUUGUUUAUGCUCAACUGGGUUUUAAUGUAACUGUAUGCUCGAUGGAUUCUUUUUCAAUGUGUGACGAACGCACCUUGGUGCAACAUCUUAACAAAGAAAGUGCACAGUUUAUAGAGUAUUCAUUGUCAACCAUAAAGCAGCUAAAAACUGUGAUUCAAUCCUUUGAAGAAUGGCCAAGAAGUAAAGCUUUGUUUUUGCUUGGAACUGAGUCUCAAUCACCGGAAAUACAUCUAAAGCAUUUUCAAGUGUUUAAUCAGAGUCUUUUAACUGUGUUAAAAAGUUGUUUAAAUGAAACAUUCACACCAAAACUAGUUUUUGCUUUAAAUGCACUUAAAUUUAAGUUGUAUUUCCAUUUGCAAAAAAAUAAAAAACUAAUCAAAUCUUGCAACACCAUUGUUACAACUCCUUGUGUGGUAAUUGAUACAGGAGAACCAAGUGAUGAAAAUCUGAAUAACAUUAAUGUUGAGAAAAUUGUAGUAGAAAGCAAUAGUGAUAGAUUUAAUGAUACAAGAAGCAGUAAAACGUUGUUUCAAAAAAAUGAUACAAAAGAAGUUUCUAUAGACUCUUUUGCAGUUAAAAUACAAGCUUGUUUUAAAGGAUUCUACAUCAGAAAAUUAAUUAAAGCUUGUAAAACAGGCACAAAAGAGUUUGAUUUUGUUGUUUCUGAUUUAAAUAAGUUGUGGAUUCAAGUAGAAUCAAACAUUGAGUAUAUUGCACUAAAAGUUACUCAUGAGAUUUUUCAAUCCGAUCCAUCUAUAUUACUUUUAUUGCCAUUCCAAUCAAGUGAAUGGAAUAGUAUUAUUCAAAAUGAGUGGAAUAAAGUUGUUUAUGCAGAUUAUUUAGUCAGUUAUAAUGAACAGCCAAUUCACUCUGCUUUUGUUAUAUGUAGGGAAGUGUAUAAAGUUAAAGAAGAUGUUUUUAUACUGCCAAGAGUAUUUUCUAGUAUUCCUCAAUGUGUACUGAGGAUUAUAAACAAUGACAAUCAUAAAGAGAUGAAAUCUUUUUAUGGAAAGGUGUUUCCUCAAGUGCUUCCAGUUAAUGAGCUUGGUUACACAUUUGUUGUUUUGGUAAGAAAAAAUAAUAAUUUGAUUUCUGCUGGAAAGCUUACUCUUCGUAUUAUUGGUGAAAAAGAACCUCUUCCAUAUCCAAACAAAGAAAGUUGUAUAAAUUCCAGCUUGUCAACUAUGGAUAUUAAAGAAUACUACAUACCAAACCUGUACAAAAGAAUAUUUAGGUAUACACUAAAUGUAUCUGCUGCUACUUUAACAAGCAUACAGUUAACUACUUCUAAUGAAAAUGCUUUAAUUAGUUUCAAGAUUAUUGAUAAUAAUGAAGAAUUGUAUACAUGUAAUGGAAAAGGUUAUAUUGAUAUACCAAGUUUUAUGUUUUUUAAAGACAAUCUGCCUUGUAGCAAUUCAAAUGUUACUCAAUCUGAAUCAAAUGGAUUUUCAAAAGGAGUACCUUUCAAAGAGAAUUUAUCUAAAAUUACAGUUAAGCAAUCCAUUAAUAUGCGAUUAAAUAAUAAUACUGAUGAAGGAGAAGGUCUUAAAGAUCAGGUUCAUAGCUAUGUUAUUGAAGCGUUCAUUCUUAAUGAUAGUUGGCCUUUGACGAAAGAUCAAUGGAACUUUUUAGAAAAAUUGAAAUUAAAAGAAGAAUUUGAGGAUGAUGAUACUGUUGAAGUAAAAGAUAACAGUGGAAAAAAAGGUGCUGGGAAAAAUAAAAAGACUAAAGAUGGUAAAAACAAACAGCGCCCAGAUUCACAGAAUAAAAAUUUUAUUGAUAUAUCAAAACCACAUUGGAAUCUCCGGCUUGUGGUUGACUUAAAUAUGGAGCAAGCUGUUAAAUUAAAGAAAGACACAGAAAGAGAAAGUCAAAUUAAAGCUAUUAAAUUAGCAUGGGAACUGGUUGAUUCGGGAAGAUCUUCAAGAGCAUUUAUUUCACGAGGAAAAUAUAUACAAACUCUCAAAUGGAAUAAUGAAAUGAAAAAUGAAAAUGAAAAAGUCAAUGAAUUAAUUUCUAUUGAAAAAGGGUUGUCUAAUCUUAUCUUAACUGGUGUGUCAGAUGAGAGUGAAUUGCUUACCAAAGCACCAGAAAAAAAAGAAGAUGCAUAUUUAAAAGACUUUGAUAUGAAGCCUUUUACUAGCUGGUUAGUUUUCUCAGGGCUGGUUUUGUUCCUUUUCCUCUGGAUAUGCCAAAAGAUACUAGAAAUCAUGUAUUUUCAAAAUGUAUGUUUUAAAAAUCAGAAUGCCAAAUGAAGAAUCUUUUUUACGAGAUCAGCUUGUAUUUCACCCUGCAAAAGGCAGCAGUAUUUUGUUUUCUAAUUCAAUUAUUUUUAUCUGGAAAUUAUGUUUCACAUUACCACAUUUUGUGAAUCGCCAAAUCCUCAAUGAAGCAGCUACCUGAAGGAAAACUUUAGAACAAGUCUUAAAUGUGAUACUGUUUCUUCUGAAAAAAAUUUUCAGAAAAUCUGGUUUCAGGUGCAUUUCACCAAUCAUUGUUUUUAAAAUGAAGUUAUUGGUUCUUUGCAGCUGAGGUUCGCAGGCGAAUCGUAUAAAAAUGCAAGACUGAAAAAUAUUUAACAUGAGGUGUGGCAUUAACAAUGGUUAAUGCCACACCUCAUGUUAGCCUUACUGAAUAAAAUACGUUUAUUAUUCGAUAUGUAUAUUAGGAAGAACCAGGAAAAAAUUCAAUUGAAGAACUGUUUUUUAUCUUUGAAGAUUGCCAAAUAAGACUGGAUCUGAUUUUGCAGGAUUAUUUUUAAAAAUUUAGGAAACUUUAGAAAUUUGUUUUAAAAAGAAAAUUCAAGCAAUCCUAAAAAAAAAAGAACCCAUUCUCAACCUGUGGUUAAACUUUCUUUAGAACUGUUCAAAACGUGUAUAAAAUCUUAUAGAUGUCCUUUCUCUAAUCAAUUGAGUUAAAUCGUUAAAUCUUUGGAAAAAGUUCAGAGCUUGUAUUUAUAUUUAUACGCCUAAAACAAAAACUUAGAUUAGAGGUGCCUUGAAAUAUUUGAGAUAUCUGGAGUUUUGAUGAAAAUCCUCAUAUUGAUUAAUUGCUGAAACUAGGUCAUUCAGGCAAAAAGGCAACUAUUCAUAUAAGGCGAUAUUCAGGUAAAAAAUUUUAAAGUAUUGAUCAGUCACCUUAAAUCUGUUUUGGAGAUGGCCAACAGUUUUGAAAAAAGCUAAAUUUGCUCCAGAUGCUGCAGAAAUCAGUUCUAAAUUUCUAAUCCACCAAAAAGUGAAGCGCAAUGGUUUUGCUUGAAAGCAAAAUGAAGAUGAGGAACAUAUCACGGAAUCAACCGAAACAGAAUGAGGAGAGGAAGCGACAUUUCGAAGAGGUUUUUUAUUACAUUCUUGACUCUGUGAUUGGUAAACUUUGUUCUCGUUUCACAGCCAUUCAAGAAAUCUUUGCUAUAUUAUCUUUUUUUGUGGGAAUAUAUAAAACUGUUUGAAGCAAUGAUGAAUUGUGCAUGCAACCAUUUUUCGCCAAAGUAAUAAUGCGACGUGACUGAAAAUAAACUGACAGAAAAAUGUUUUUAACUUUAAUUUUUUCAAAACCGCUUUCCCCAUUCGACUUGUUAAACAAAAUUUCAGAAAUGAGGAGAACUCUUCAGAUAUUUAGUGGUUGCACUGCGUAUUUUUGCUUCAAUUUUGAGGAACAAAAAUAAACAAGUAAUUUUGCCAUUUUGAGUGUCUAUUAGCACAAAAUCUUGAUUUCCAUGAUGUGACUGAAGAGUUUGCAAAAAAAAAGAUCAACAUCUGAAAAAAAAAAGUUUGAAAUAAAAAAUCUACAUGAUCAGCAGGUAGAAAAUUACAAACAUUUUCGUGAAAAUUGCGAGCUCAUUCUAGUAAAACGUGAAUAUGAUCACCUUGUAAGAAAUGCAG
Hydra vulgaris (swiftwater hydra) is the source of this 6189-nucleotide non-coding RNA. The record is from RefSeq and is a predicted model, not a curated record. NCBI's taxonomy places the organism in Eukaryota, Metazoa, Cnidaria, Hydrozoa, Anthoathecata, Hydridae.